UCUGGUGACAAUGGCAAGGAGGUCACACCUGUUCCCAUGCCGAACACAGAAGUUAAGCUCCUUAGCGCCGAUGGUAGUUGGACUGAC
This 87-nucleotide ribosomal RNA is filed under the name Staphylococcus hominis. The record is from RNAcentral. Lineage: Bacteria; Bacillati; Bacillota; Bacilli; Caryophanales; Staphylococcaceae.